Molecule: ribosomal RNA, 662 nt
Filed under: uncultured cyanobacterium
Lineage: Bacteria; Bacillati; Cyanobacteriota
Description: bacterial SSU rRNA
Rfam family: Bacterial small subunit ribosomal RNA
Source: RNAcentral
CGGACGGGUGAGUAACGCGUGAGAAUCUGGCUUCGGGUCCGGGACAACCACUGGAAACGGUGGCUAAUACCGGAUGUGCCGAGAGGUGAAAGGUUAACUGCCUAGAGAUGAGCUCGCGUCUGAUUAGCUAGUUGGAAGUGUAUGGACUCCCAAGGCGACGAUCAGUAGCUGGUCUGAGAGGACGAUCAGCCACACUGGGACUGAGACACGGCCCAGACUCCUACGGGAGGCAGCAGUGGGGAAUUUUCCGCAAUGGGCGAAAGCCUGACGGAGCAAUACCGCGUGAGGGAGGAAGGCUCUUGGGUCGUAAACCUCUUUUCUCAGGGAAGAACACAAUGACGGUACCUGAGGAAUAAGCAUCGGCUAACUCCGUGCCAGCAGCCGCGGUAAUACGGAGGAUGCAAGCGUUAUCCGGAAUGAUUGGGCGUAAAGCGUCCGCAGGUGGCAAUGUAAGUCUGCUGUUAAAGAGUCUAGCUCAACUAGAUAAGAGCAGUGGAAACUACAUAGCUAGAGUACGUUCGGGGCAGAGGGAAUUCCUGGUGUAGCGGUGAAAUGCGUAGAGAUCAGGAAGAACACCAGUGGCGAAGGCGCUCUGCUAGGCCGUAACUGACACUGAGGGACGAAAGCUAGGGGAGCGAAUGGGAUUAGAUACCCCAGUAGUC